Molecule: ribosomal RNA, 214 nt
Filed under: uncultured eukaryote
Lineage: Eukaryota
Description: partial small subunit ribosomal RNA
Rfam family: Eukaryotic small subunit ribosomal RNA
Source: RNAcentral
AGUUGGUGGAGUGAUUUGUCUGGUUAAUUCCGUUAACGAACGAGACCUUAACCUGCUAAAUAGUUACGUAAGCCUUUCUACUUUGCCCAUUCUGUCGUCGUGUUAGGGGGCAACUCCGAAGCACGGCGGCAGGGUGGGUGGGGAUGGCUUUACGCUUAACUUCUUAGAGGGACUAUUCGUUUCCAGCGAAUGGAAGUUUGAGGCAAUAACAGGU